Long non-coding RNA from Melozone crissalis (California towhee), 308 nucleotides. RefSeq lists it as uncharacterized. The record is from RefSeq and is a predicted model, not a curated record. Lineage: Eukaryota; Metazoa; Chordata; Aves; Passeriformes; Passerellidae. The transcript has 4 exons.
AUGAAGGCUCAGUUUCCCGGAGGAAGCAGUGGCUCAUUGGCAACUUCUGCUGCAGGAAGGGAGGCAAUGCCAGGCACAGCCACAGGAGAUGAGCUUGCUAGGAAGAUUUCUCCAUUAGAUUGGCUGAAGAAAAUUUUGAAGCCUUUGGAGCCUCGUGCAGAUGUGUCUGCAGGGAGGACUUUUCUUGUUCCUUUGCUGGUUCCUUCACCGAAGCCAGGCUCUCAUCGCAGGGGUCCUCCAACAGGAAAGUACAAAUCUACAGCACAGAAGGAAGCUCAUGAGCCAUCUGAAUACAUGAGGCAAAGGAC